Molecule: transfer RNA, 86 nt
Filed under: Rhodospirillaceae bacterium
Lineage: Bacteria; Pseudomonadati; Pseudomonadota; Alphaproteobacteria; Rhodospirillales; Rhodospirillaceae
Description: tRNA-Tyr
Rfam family: tRNA
About the family: Transfer RNA (tRNA) molecules are approximately 80 nucleotides in length. Their secondary structure includes four short double-helical elements and three loops (D, anti-codon, and T loops).
Source: RNAcentral
GGAAGGGUGGCCGAGUGGUUAAUGGCAGCAGACUGUAAAUCUGCCCGCGUAAGCGUACAUAGGUUCGAAUCCUAUCCCUUCCACCA